RNAcentral lists this ribosomal RNA (538 nucleotides) under uncultured bacterium. Its description in RNAcentral is "bacterial SSU rRNA". It matches the Rfam family "Bacterial small subunit ribosomal RNA", at positions 937 to 1500 of the family's 1533-position model. The record is from RNAcentral.
GUAUGUGUUUAUUGACGCACCGGAAAGACCCUUCCCAAGCCUUGCCAUAUACUAGAAAGUCUAAGAAUUAGCCCCUCUUCGAAGCUGGUAUACAGGUGAUGCAUGGUUGUCGUCAGCUCGUGUCGUGAGAUGUUGGGUUAAGUCCCCGCAACGAGCGCAACCCUCGUGAUUAGUUGCCACGAAGUGGAACUCUAAUCAGACUGCCGUAGUUAAUACGGAGGAAGGUGAGGAUGACGUCAAAUCAUCACGUCCCUUACGUCUUGGGCUACACACGUACUACAAUGGGUGUUACAGAGAGAAGCGAAUUCGCGAGGAGGAGCAAAUCUGAAAAAAGCAUCCCUAGUUCGGAUUGUAGGCUGCAACCCGCCUACAUGAAGCUGGAAUUGCUAGUAAUCACAGGUCAGCAUACUGUGGUGAAUACGUUCCCGGGCCUUGUACACACCGCCCGUCACACCAUGAGAGUUGAGAAUACCCGAAGUCCAUGUCAAAGUGGCCGAAGGUAGGCUUGAUGAUUGGGGUGAAGUCGUAACAAGGUAAC